Molecule: long non-coding RNA, 865 nt
Filed under: Equus asinus (donkey)
Lineage: Eukaryota; Metazoa; Chordata; Mammalia; Perissodactyla; Equidae
Description: lncRNA (ENSEASG00005024952.1)
Source: RNAcentral
GAGUUAUUAUGGCUGUCCAUAAAAAUGGGCCAGAAGAGUAAAUGCCAGCUCCUGGCCAACCCCCGCCCCCAAAUCCCACUCCCAACAGGUGCCAGGCGAGUCUCAGCAACACCCCACCUGCUCCCUCCCAAUCUCUGCAGCUCCCAGAGGAGCGGAUCAAAGGGAUGCAACCCACACACCCUGCUCCGCUCCAGCCACCAAAAGCCCCAGGAACACGGUCCCACAGGGGGCAAGUCCCCAGCAGCCCUGAGAAGCGCUGACGCUGGCAGGGAGGGAAGAAGGGCCCCAGCAGCUGACACGGGAAAGCUGGAACAGUGCAUCCUCACAACCCAUCGACCCCCUUCCUGUGACCGCUCUUCCUUCUCUUCCUCAGGCUUCCCUUGGGCAGGACAGUGGGAUUCCCUUGCCAGGAAACCCCAGAUACCCUCACCUCAUACUCUGGGUCUCCUGUGGACCCUCGAGGCUGCCGCCCAAGACAGGGACAACAGGCCCCAAAGGCUCUCAGGGCUGCAGCUCGGCCCUCAGCUGGUCCCUGCUCACCAGAGCACCCAGCCGCCCAACACAACGCUGAGGGCUGGACAGGGCCUCAUGUUGGGACCAGGCCCAGCUGGUCUUCGUUCAUUCUCUCUCCCUGCAUUCAACACGUGUGUUGAGCUCUGUAACAUUCUAAGAAUGCGGAUGAGGAUGACUCCAGAACUCUCCCUGCCCUGAAGGAACUCACAGGUUCGGGAAGAGAACUGGAAAGCUUGCAUUCACUGAGUGCUUACUGUGUGCUGGGCACUGUUCCAAGCACUUGUAUGGAAUGACCUCCAAGGGAGGUGGUACUCAGCAGGCAAGGAAAGUGAGCCCACGGGGUUAAGUCAAU